Molecule: ribosomal RNA, 305 nt
Filed under: uncultured bacterium
Lineage: Bacteria
Description: bacterial SSU rRNA
Rfam family: Bacterial small subunit ribosomal RNA
Source: RNAcentral
CCUACGGGGCGCAGCAGUAGGGAAUCUUCGGCAAUGGACGAAAGUCUGACCGAGCAACGCCGCGUGAGUGAAGAAGGUUUUCGGAUCGUAAAACUCUGUUGGUAGAGAAGAACGUUGGUGAGAGUGGAAAGCUCAUCAAGUGACGGUAACUACCCAGAAAGGGACGGCUAACUACGUGCCAGCAGCCGCGGUAAUACGUAGGUCCCGAGCGUUGUCCGGAUUUACUGGGUGUAAAGGGCGUGCAGCCGGAGAGACAAGUCAGAUGUGAAAUCCACGGGCUCAACCCGUGAACUGCAUUUGAAACU